RNAcentral lists this ribosomal RNA (1336 nucleotides) under uncultured soil eukaryote. RNAcentral describes it as "partial small subunit ribosomal RNA". It matches the Rfam family "Eukaryotic small subunit ribosomal RNA", at positions 13 to 991 of the family's 1831-position model. The record is from RNAcentral.
CCUGCCAGUAGUCAUAUGCUUAGUUCAAAGAUUAAGCCAUGCAUGUCUAAGUUUAAGGUGUGUUGUUGCAGUCAUAGUGAUCUCGGUUAUUAUGAUUGUAAUGUAUCACUUCUGAAACUGCAUAUGGCUCAUUAAAUCGGUUGUAAACUCUCACAAACAAUAACUUGCCAGGUAUUUAUACUUGGCAUAAUAAAUGGAUAUCUGUGGGAAUUCUAGAGCUAAUACAUGAUCUCUCUUAAUGAGGGUUUUAUAGGUAAGCAAUUACUUAUAAUACGCGUUCAAUAUCCAUUGAAUCUAAAGACCUUAGACCAGUCAGUUAUUAAUUUAUUAAUAAUUGAUCCUAAGGUUGAGUCCCAUUGAACUCAUAGAAUUGCCAAUCACAUAAAUUUAUUAAUAUGAAUAAUGUUAAUAAAGGGUGAUAGUUUGUAGAGACUUCCGACUCAUCAGCUUAUGUUGGUAAAUUAUAGGUUUACCAAGGCGUUGACGGGUAACGGAGGAUUGGGGUUUGAUCCCGGAGAGGGAGCCUGAGAAAUGGCUACCACUUCUAAGGAAGGCAGCAGGCGCGCAAAUUACCCAAUGUCAAAUUGAUGAGGUAGUGACGAUCAAUAACGACGUGGACUCUCAAUUGAGGGUCCACGAUCGGAAUGAGCUCUCCCUAGACCAUUGAGCGAGUAACAAUCGGAGGAAAAGUCUGGUGCCAGCACCCGCGGUAAUUCCAGCUCCGAUAGCAUAUAUUAAAGUUGUUGCAGUUAAAAAGCUCGUAGUUGAUUUUCAGUGCAAUGGUUAUGAAAUCUAUAGGAUGGCUUAUUUUAAUGGGGUAUUUGAUAGUAGCAAUACUGUCAAGUAUUUUUCAUGGUAAGUUUAUUUUAUGGAACCUUCAUGAUCAAUAAACGGUUAAAUUCCAUUCGGUACGUUACCGCGAGUAAUGUUAUCGAGACCGAGCACAAGAUUAAAGGUUAUUAUUUAGCAUUCGUGUUAAGUAAUGAUUUUUAAUCUAUACCUGGAGUAAAUUAGGGUGUUUAAAGCAGGUGGCUCUUCUGAGCGCCUUGAAUAGUUGAGCGUGGUAUAUUAAUUACCUUAAUUUCGGAUCCCAAUACCUAAUAUUUGGUGUUAUAAUGGUAGCAAUAUCAUUAUAAAGGUCUUUAGAAGGUAUUUAAUGCAAUUACGAUUGUAUUUUUCCUUUAUUAAUUUAUUAAUAAAGGAUGGGAAUUUAUUGAUGAGGGUGGUCAGUGGUGUUAGUAUUUAGUUGUCAGGGUCAAAUUCUUGGACCAACUAAAGACUAUCUUCAGCGAAAGCAUUCACCAGGUACACUCUUUUUCAAUCAAGAACAAAAGUU